CACAUAGGGACUGAGAUACGGGAGAGAGGAGCAGGAGGCAGCAGUGGGGAAUAUUGCACAAUGGGCGGAAGCCUGAUGCAGCAACGCCGCGUGCGGGAUGACGGCCUUCGGGUUGUAAACCGCUUUCGCCUGUGACGAAGCGUGAGUGACGGUAAUGGGUAAAGAAGCACCGGCUAACUACGUGCCAGCAGCCGCGGUGAUACGUAGGGUGCGAGCGUUGUCCGGAUUUAUUGGGCGUAAAGGGCUCGUAGGUGGUUGAUCGCGUCGGAAGUGUAAUCUUGGGGCUUAACCCUGAGCGUGCUUUCGAUACGGGUUGACUUGAGGAAGGUAGGGGAGACUGGAAUU
RNAcentral lists this ribosomal RNA (345 nucleotides) under uncultured bacterium. RNAcentral describes it as "bacterial SSU rRNA". It matches the Rfam family "Bacterial small subunit ribosomal RNA", at positions 309 to 668 of the family's 1533-position model. The record is from RNAcentral.